RNAcentral lists this ribosomal RNA (457 nucleotides) under uncultured bacterium. Its description in RNAcentral is "bacterial SSU rRNA". It matches the Rfam family "Bacterial small subunit ribosomal RNA", at positions 340 to 786 of the family's 1533-position model. The record is from RNAcentral.
UACGGGAGGCAGCAGUGGGGAAUAUUGCACAAUGGGCGCAAGCCUGAUGCAGCCAUGCCGCGUGUAUGAAGAAGGCCUUCGGGUUGUAAAGUACUUUCAGUCGUGAGGAAGGUGUUAAGGUUAAUAACCUUAGCAAUUGACGUUAGCGACAGAAGAAGCACCGGCUAACUCCGUGCCAGCAGCCGCGGUAAUACGGAGGGUGCGAGCGUUAAUCGGAAUUACUGGGCGUAAAGGGCACGCAGGCGGUUAAUUAAGUUGGAAUGUGAAAUCCCCGGGCUUAACCUGGGAAUGGCAUUCAAGACUGGUUAGCUAGAGUCUUGUAGAGGGGGUAGAAUUCCAUGUGUAGCGGUGAAAUGCGUAGAGAUGUGGAGGAAUACCGGUGGCGAAGGCGGCCCCUGGACAAAGGACUGACGCUCAUGUGCGAAAAGCGUGGGGAGCGAAACAGGGAUUAGAUACC